Molecule: long non-coding RNA, 379 nt
Filed under: Sinocyclocheilus grahami
Lineage: Eukaryota; Metazoa; Chordata; Actinopteri; Cypriniformes; Cyprinidae
Description: lncRNA (ENSSGRG00000009201.1)
Source: RNAcentral
UGCUGAGUGCAAAACAAUGAAGGAGGCUAAUAGGAGACAGCAGAAUCAUGAGACAAUGGCAUGUUCAAAGGCCUUCUAGACAAUUGACCCUGUGGUUAAAUAGAUUAAGUCUGAGAAAUGGGUAACAUGUGGUAUUACAUUAUAUUUUGAACAGCCACACUGUAGAGUCGCUGGGAAAGGAGAAAAAAAAAGUUCUCUCUCAACAACAGUUAUCUUCAAUGACUAAACAGUACUUUGUUUAGCAUAACAUUCUUGUCAAGGCACCUAUGUGUUUCAAAUUGCCAUUGUAUUCUAAGGUUUAAUAUUUCUAAUAUGAAUUGUACCAUGUGUUUUUAGUCAAAAUAAUUCACAUUUCUUAUUAUUUGUGACUACUGAGACC